This is a long non-coding RNA of Micropterus salmoides (largemouth bass), 697 nucleotides long. RefSeq lists it as uncharacterized. Lineage: Eukaryota; Metazoa; Chordata; Actinopteri; Centrarchiformes; Centrarchidae. The record is from RefSeq and is a predicted model, not a curated record. The transcript is spliced from 5 exons.
GUCAUUAACUGUAAAUAAUGGCUGGUGUUUCUCUGGUUCAGCAGCUCCAGACAGGACGACUGAAGCUACAGACGCUGAGAAGGAAGAAGAGAAGAUCGUUCUGCAGCAGGUAAUCAUCAUCUUCAACAUCUGCAUCAUCUCCACCAUGAAGACGCUGACUCUGUCUGCACUUCUUUGUGCCAUGAUGGCUCUGACCAGAGCUGCUGCUCUUCCAGACGCAGAGGAUGAACCUGGGACAGAGGGAUCUGUUGUCCAAGGAGAGAGCCAUGUUGUCAAGAGGUCCACAUGUUGUCCCGAUGGUUGGACUCCUUUUGUUGUUUUCUCUACGUUGCACAAGCCAUGAUUUGGGCUGUGGCUGAGAUCAGAAAUGCUGGGACGACGUGCAAUGUGAUAGGCAGCUCCCAUCUGUCUGUGUUGGAAAUGGCUGUUAAACACGUGAAGAACGUGUCAAAAACACAAACACUGAUCAAUUUGUGUUUGUCUGUCUGUGAGGAAACUCGUCUCUCUUCAGCCAGCAGUCUCAUAUUUGACCUGAAGGCUCUAUAUCUCAUUUCACAUCUUUAUUUCUUCUCUAUCACUGUAACACUACUUAAGGAACAAAGCGACAUGUGACAUAAACAGCAGCUGGAUUGUCUCUGUCUCUUUAAUACGAGCAGACUGAAUGUGUAAUGAAAAGAAAGCUUUUAGCACAACUUUA